UUUCACGGAGAGUUUGAUUCUGGCUCAGAACGAACGCUGGCGGCGUGGAUAAGACAUGCAAGUCGAACGGGACUUAUUUUGUAGCAAUACAAGGUAAGUUCAGUGGCGUAAGGGUGCGUAACACGUGGGGAAUCUGCCGAGAAGUGGGGGAUAGCUCGCCGAAAGGCGAAUUAAUACCGCAUGUGACCAGG
This 191-nucleotide ribosomal RNA is filed under the name Bryobacteraceae bacterium. Its description in RNAcentral is "partial 16S ribosomal RNA". It matches the Rfam family "Bacterial small subunit ribosomal RNA", at positions 1 to 183 of the family's 1533-position model. The record is from RNAcentral. Lineage: Bacteria; Pseudomonadati; Acidobacteriota; Terriglobia; Bryobacterales; Bryobacteraceae.